UUCGGUAUCCUGUGUUGCUUACCUAUCGAAAGGAAUCCGACGGUUUCGUUGGUCCCUCUCCGCCCCAUGCCCUCGCGGGUGGUGGGGUGGACGUCAGGCAAGCCUCGUGUUCCCGGCACGCCUCGCCCAGUUGCGUGGCUGCCCAGGCCCACGGGGCGCGUUGCCCGUGCUCUCGGAUGCGGAACGUUGUGCGCGGGCGUGGGGUCUUUUGGCUCCGUCGGCCCGAGCAACGCAUUGGUCCCUCGACACGAACGACCGUCGAACCCGUCUUGAGCACGUCUCAUGCGGGCGUCGGCGUCGCGAAGGAAUGCUACCUGGUUGAUCCUGCCAGUAGUCAUAUGCUUGUCUC
This 349-nucleotide unclassified non-coding RNA is filed under the name Bursera schlechtendalii. Its description in RNAcentral is "partial external transcribed spacer". Lineage: Eukaryota; Viridiplantae; Streptophyta; Magnoliopsida; Sapindales; Burseraceae. The record is from RNAcentral.